GCAAAAUGGAGGGAGUUGGCUGGAGGCAGAUGCUGUCUGGGCACUGGCUGGGCAUGGGUUGCUGGAUGGUUCCUGCACUUUUGAGCCCUCUCCAGCCCCAUUGGCAUGGGAGUGAGUGUGGCGCUGAGCUGCUGCUGGGUUAAACCACGUCAACUUUGUCUUCUGCACAGCAAGUCUGUAUGAAAGGCACAACACAGGAACUCUCGAGAAGUGGCUCCUUUGAAGAGAAAAGUAGCGAUAUGGAAAAGAAUAGAAACUGCAAAUGUGGUGGAGAAAAUAAACACUCUUCCUGAGCAUUUUCAUUCAUGAGAUACAGCGCAGUUCAACUUUUAAAUCAAGUCAGCUCAUACAAUUUCAUGGUGGUCAAAUAGGAGAGAGGCAUCUACAGCAUGGAGGAUUACAAGCAGCCUUGAACAGAUACUUAGAGACCAACUUCAGUCAAGCCAGAGUGGGAAAGCGUCUUUUCAAAGAGACAGGCGAGAUUAAAGUGUAUUUCCUG
Molecule: long non-coding RNA, 499 nt
Organism: Phasianus colchicus (ring-necked pheasant)
Lineage: Eukaryota; Metazoa; Chordata; Aves; Galliformes; Phasianidae
Source: RefSeq, a predicted model, not a curated record